AGCAGCCGCGGUAAUUCCAGCUCCAAUAGCGUAUAUUAAAGUUGUUGCAGUUAAAAAGCUCGUAGUUGAACUUCGGGAUCAAUGGAUUGGUCAUGCCGAUGGUAUGAACUGGUCAUAUUGGUUCUCACCUUCUAAGGAACCAUAAUGUCAUUUAUUUGAUGUUGUGGGGAAUUAGGACUGUUACCUUGAAAAAUUAGAGUGUUUAAAGCAGGCUAACGCUUGAAUACAUUAGCAUGGAAUAAUGAAAUAGGACAUCGCAUUCUAUUUUGUUGGUUUCUAGGAUCGAUGUAAUGAUUAAUAGGGAUAGUUGGGGCAUUAGUAUUCAAUUGUCAGAGGUGAAAUUCUUGGAUUUAUUGAAGACUUAACUACUGCGAAAGCA
RNAcentral lists this ribosomal RNA (379 nucleotides) under uncultured Acaulospora. Its description in RNAcentral is "SSU rRNA". It matches the Rfam family "Eukaryotic small subunit ribosomal RNA", at positions 569 to 953 of the family's 1831-position model. Lineage: Eukaryota; Fungi; Glomeromycota; Glomeromycetes; Diversisporales; Acaulosporaceae. The record is from RNAcentral.